RNAcentral lists this ribosomal RNA (526 nucleotides) under uncultured bacterium. RNAcentral describes it as "bacterial SSU rRNA". It matches the Rfam family "Bacterial small subunit ribosomal RNA", at positions 33 to 541 of the family's 1533-position model. The record is from RNAcentral.
GAUGAACGCUAGCGGUGUGCUUAAAGCAUGCAAGUCGAACGUGAUCUCUUGGAUUCGUCUGAGGGUGAAAGUGGCGAACGGGUGAGUAAUGCGUUGGUGAUCUGCCCCGGAGUGGGGAAUAACUAUUGGAAACGAUAGCUAAUACCCCAGAUGUCCUCGUGUUUGGAAAGCGAUGACUAAAGUUCAGGCGCUCCGGGAGGAGCCGACGUCCCAUCAGCUAGUUGGUAGGGUAAUGGCCUACCAAGGCACAGACGGGUAGGGGGCGUGAGAGCGUGACCCCCCACACUGGUACUGACACACGGACCAGAUACCUACGGGUAGCAGCAGCUAGGAAUAUUGGACAAUGGGCGAAAGCCUGAUCCAGCAACACCGCGUGGAGGACGAAGGCCUUCGGGUCGUAAACUCCUUUUUGGGGGUAGUGAGAAAGGACAGUACCCCCACGAAUAAGGCCCGGCUAACUACGUGCCAGCAGCCGCGGUAAAGUCUACGUACGUAGACGUAGACGGCGGUCGUGGACGACGGCGAC